GGGCAAAGCAAACACCAGGGCACCCACAUUUACUACAGCAAGUGCAGUGACUGGACUACGUUUGGCAAAUAAAAGGAGAAUCCACUGUCGGUCUUUGAAACUCGCCAAGAAUCUUGUCUAGAUUCCGGAGAAGCCAUGGGAGUGAACCUGAAGCUCCUGCUCCUGCUGGUCGUAGCAGUGGCCAUCAUUUGGGACGCCGCUGACGCCCAGGGGCCAGACCAUGAGGGAGGUCGCGGACUUCACGCUGACGGUGACACCGCAGAAGCGCGCUUGCCGCGGGAUCUGGGAGCAGAUGUUCCGCAGGUGAAUGAUGAGGCGGAGGAGAGGGCCGAGCUGGGAAAAACUCCCUGAGCCGCACCGACUUCGGCUGCUGAUUGCUGUCUGACGGGCCUCGUUUGUUGUGACGAUUGGAGGAUGGUGACAAAUCUCCAGUGCUGUGCAUGCUUAAUGACGUAACUGCGUUCGAAUAUUCGAUCUAGUGUCAGAGGCCCGCAGUGUGCUUGUAGCCGCAGUUGUGUGAAAUUUGAAGCGGUUCAAUUUUAUCGGCUUCAGCUUG
This is a long non-coding RNA of Branchiostoma floridae (Florida lancelet), 556 nucleotides long. RefSeq lists it as uncharacterized. The record is from RefSeq and is a predicted model, not a curated record. The transcript has 3 exons. Lineage: Eukaryota; Metazoa; Chordata; Leptocardii; Amphioxiformes; Branchiostomatidae.